Molecule: long non-coding RNA, 2536 nt
Organism: Pygocentrus nattereri (red-bellied piranha)
Lineage: Eukaryota; Metazoa; Chordata; Actinopteri; Characiformes; Serrasalmidae
Source: Ensembl
UCUGAACAUCGAGGAAGCAAGAAGCAAGCAAAAUAAAUGGAACUUCACUGUCAGUUAAUGAUGUAUAAUAAUGGUACAUUAUUGUACUGGCAGUGUAAGAAAAAGGCUGUGCCUCGAUUUCACAAUAGAUCUUAACUGAAAAGGAAGCAAAAUAAAGAAACAGGUGGCAUUCAGAGCAUAAAAAAUGAACCCUCAGAUGAAGAGUCAAAAAAAAGUGACACAUAUUACUGCAAAAAUACAAACAAUAUCCAACCAGAAUGUUUCUAAAUGCUCAGAACUUCAGUUCUGUAACAUACUGGACUAACUUUCCUCUUUUGAUUAAGGAUUCAGAAAUUCCAGAAAUUCCACAAAAAAUCCCUUCUCGUCUGAGCGCACAAGAUGGCAGACAGCAAAGUCUUCCAGCUUUCUGCCUCCAGUGAAAGGUGGGAAAUCACCAAAUCAGCCCAUGAAAGCGUGAACCAGCAUUGGAAACAGUGACGAAACCAAGUUCUGACUGGUGCCCACACACUGUGAUGGAGAGAAGAUCGUGAUGUAUGUAAGUUUACAGUUUGUCACAUUUCAGCUGAGUAGGAAUUGGCUCUGAAGGUCCUCACUAAAAGUUGUUACAGGCAACCUAUUUUCAGCUGUACAUUAUGUGUGUGUGUGUGUGUGUGUGUGUGUGUGUGUGUGUGUGUGUGUGUGUGUGUAUAUAUAUAUAUAUAUAUCUUAAAAAUAUAUUCUCCAGCAACGCCUUCUCCACAGAACAGACGAGUUGUUGUGUUUGGCAGGAUUUUAUGUAGGAAAAUAUGCAAUUUGUGGAAGGAUUAAGAGGACUCCAACCCUGAGAUGCUCACUAUGUGUCCGUGAAGGAAAAUGAGCUCCUGAAUGCUACUUCUUGUUUUUUCUGAACGUUCUCUAUUAGCUCACAUCCUCUUCUGUCCAGCUUCAUGCAAUCACCACUAGAUGCCAUUAAAGAGCCUACGAAAGAAACACUAUGCUGAAUCCAAUACAGAAGGGGUUUCUGAUGAGCAGAAACUGGUUCUGAAUGGGUUUCUGAUGAGCAGAAACUGGUUCUGAGUGAGUCUCUGUUUACACAGAUGUUUUGAGAAAGUUUAACAGACCUUCAGCAUGACAGCUUCAGAGGAUCCGAAGAGAAGUUGGGUCUCCAGGGCUCGCAUCCGGAGCAGCCUCUCCAAUUUGGGGAAUUUCGCCAGACACAGGUAGGAGAUGUGGUACAGCAGGGAGACCUGCUGAGACGAUGGGAGGAGCUCCUCAAUGAACCCUGAGCUCCAUACAGAGGUGGCUGGCACAACCUCUGUGAUUUCCACAAAAUGAAUGUAAAUAAUUUCACUAUAAAGUUGGUUAAACAAGCAUUAAUUUGUGGUUGGAUACAUCAAAUGACUGGUAUUGUUUUACUUACAACCUGAGGAAGAAGCAGCUUAGAGUGUGUGUGUGUGUGUGUGUGUGUGUGACUUGCCUUUGCUGUUAGCCAUUGUGUUUAAAGUCAGGGGGGUUCUGUGUUUUCCUAAAGAUCAAUAAAAAUAUUUUACAGCAGUGCUUAGAAACGCAUUGUUCACUAAAUAUAAGUUUUGAAAGUGAAUAAAUAAAACAGAGAGGAUCUUACCUGUAGAGCUGUGUGGACUGCGCUUCUUACAGAUGUUCAGUGCAGUUUCGUUUUUAUAUGUAAUGACACCGAAAGAAAGGGCCAGGUAAAGACCAAAAGAUGAGGCUGUCCAAGGGUUUGACAAGAAGCGUGGUCAGUAAACAGGCGUGGUCCAGAUCCAAUCAGCAAAAAGGUACAGAAUGGCAACCGUAACCAGGUGGGGUUAGGAGGGCAAAGACAAAAGGGGAAAACCAGAAAUCCAGAAAAUCAGUCCAAACACGAAAAAGGCAACCACACAAACGCACACUGGAGAAGUUUGCCCUGAACGAGGACUUGAUGACUGCAGUAGUUCUACAAGAGAAGCAGUACUUCAGGAGUGCUGAUUGGAGAACGAGGGGAGAGCAGGUGACCUCUCAGAGGAUUCUAGCUGGAGGGAUGUGUAACAUUAUACUUUAAAUGGCCCACCUGAUUUGAGAAAUAUGUGAAUAUCCGCACAUGCUUGAGACCAUCUGAACCAAAUAAAUUAAUCUUGGUCUCAUCAGACCAUAGGACGUGGUUCCAGUAAUCCAUGUCCUUUGUUGACGUCUUCAGCAACUGUUUGCGGGCUUUCUUGUGUACGGACUUCAGAAGAGGCUUCCUUCCGGGGUGACAGCCAUGCAGACCAAUUUGAUGUAGUGUGCGGCGUAUGGUCUGAGGACUGACAGGCAGACCCCCCACCUCUUCAAUCUCUGCAUCUAUCUUUCAAAGACAACAUUUGGAUGUGACGCUGAGCACGUGCACUCAGCUUCUUUGGACGACCAACACGAGGUCUGUUCUGAGUGGACCCUGCUCUUUUAAAUCGCUGGAUGAUCUUGGCCACUCUGCUGCAGCUCAGUUUCAGGGUGUUGGCAAUCUUCUUGUAGCCUUGGCCAUCUUCAUGUAGCGCAACAAUUCGUCUUUUAAGAUCCUCAGAGA